GUGGAGCAUGUGGCUUAAUUUGACUCAACGCGGGGAAUCUUACUAGGUCCGGACCGAUUCUAUGAUCGUCGUACUGUGGGGUGCUACGUGAUUACUGGAUGAGUGGUGCAUGGCCGUUCUUAGUUCGUGGUGUUAAUUGUCUACUUAAUUGUCAUCAGUUUAAUACAUGUAUUGAACUAUGAACGAACGAGAUCGAGACCCGUGGUUGCGUGUGUUUGAAUUCGGUAUUACUACGGGGAUCGCGUAUUACUCCACGGUACGAUCGAAAGACUCGGCAAUAACAGGUCUGUGAUGCCCUCAGAUGUUCUAGGCUGCACACGUGCUACAGUGUGGUUCUGUUCAUAUGUGUAUGCGUAGACUUGAGAUCCCCCGCACCGAGUCAUAACUGGUCACACGGUUGGACUCACCGAUUGUCAAUUAUUCGGUAUCUUAA
RNAcentral lists this ribosomal RNA (433 nucleotides) under Amphistegina lobifera. RNAcentral's name for it is "SSU rRNA". It matches the Rfam family "Eukaryotic small subunit ribosomal RNA", at positions 1176 to 1603 of the family's 1831-position model. Lineage: Eukaryota; Foraminifera; Rotaliida; Amphisteginidae. The record is from RNAcentral.